AUUGAACGCUGGCGGCAGGCCUAACACAUGCAAGUCGAGCGGAUGAAGGGAGCUUGCUCCUGGAUUCAGCGGCGGACGGGUGAGUAAUGCCUAGGAAUCUGCCUGGUAGUGGGGGAUAACGUCCGGAAACGGGCGCUAAUACCGCAUACGUCCUGAGGGAGAAAGUGGGGGAUCGUCGGACCUCACGCUAUCAGAUGAGCCUAGGUCGGAUUAGCUAGUUGGUGGGGUAAAGGCCUACCAAGGCGACGAUCCGUAACUGGUCUGAGAGGAUGAUCAGUCACACUGGAACUGAGACACGGCCCAGACUCCUACGGGAGGCAGCAGUGGGGAAUAUUGGACAAUGGGCGAAAGCCUGAUCCAGCCAUGCCGCGUGUGUGAAGAAGGUCUUCGGAUUGUAAAGCACUUUAAGUUGGGAGGAAGGGCAGUAAGUUAAUACCUUGCUGUUUUGACGUUACCAACAGAAUAAGCACCGGCUAACUUCGUG
This 484-nucleotide ribosomal RNA is filed under the name uncultured bacterium. Its description in RNAcentral is "partial 16S ribosomal RNA". It matches the Rfam family "Bacterial small subunit ribosomal RNA", at positions 30 to 507 of the family's 1533-position model. The record is from RNAcentral.